UGAUAGAGGCGCGGUUACGAUGAGUACCCCACCCAAGGCAUGGACAAAGGCCGUGGGGGAAGGGCGUCGCCGCCGAAGGGCAGAUAAGCUGGUCCGGCUGUCUGUGCCUGGGCCGCAGGGGAAUACCCUGCGGACUGUCACACGUCCCGUGUGAAGCGCUAUCA
RNAcentral lists this non-coding RNA (164 nucleotides) under Candidatus Enterenecus avicola. RNAcentral describes it as "Lysine riboswitch". It matches the Rfam family "Lysine riboswitch aptamer". From Rfam's summary of the family: Riboswitches are metabolite binding domains within certain messenger RNAs that serve as precision sensors for their corresponding targets. The record is from RNAcentral. Lineage: Bacteria; Bacillati; Bacillota; Clostridia; Eubacteriales.